UUAUAACCGAGUGUCCUGGCCCCACCAAGGUGGUCCAGACUAGAGACCGAACCCUUACGGCACGGACGCACAUCCGAGGGUGGGUCAUGGCUAGGUAACGGUCUACGGUCUCGGGCGCCAGAGCAAAUCCGCAUGUAAAUUCUCUGAUUGCCACUAGUAUAUAGCAAGGGGGAAUCGAAUCCGGGCGUAUUGGGAUUACCCCUCAACCACGAAACCCGUCCUACCACUAGCCCACCUUGUAGUGGUUAUGGGUUUGAACUUUGGACCCAUAUCUAAGACCUAAGUAAAGUUUUAGCAUUCUAUAAAAUAAUAAAAUGUAGUACAUACCAAACAAACUACAUACAUACUAGUAUAUAUCGGGUGCUACCAGGAGUUAUACGAAAUAACGAAUUGAAUAAUGAAAUAAUUAAGUGGUACUUAUGAUUAAUUACAUAAACGUGGGUGGUAGAUCGAAAUCGUAUAGAUUUUUAAAAACAAUGAAAA
RNAcentral lists this long non-coding RNA (483 nucleotides) under Arabidopsis lyrata. RNAcentral's name for it is "long non-coding RNA (ALYR_LNC003007)". Lineage: Eukaryota; Viridiplantae; Streptophyta; Magnoliopsida; Brassicales; Brassicaceae. The record is from RNAcentral.